UACGUAGGGGGCAAGCGUUGUCCGGAAUCAUUGGGCGUAAAGCGCGUGUAGGCGGCCCGAUAAGUCCGCUGUGAAAGUCCAGGGCUCAACCCUGGAAUGCCGGUGGAUACUGUCGGGCUAGAGUCCGGAAGAGGCGAGUGGAAUUCCUGGUGUAGCGGUGAAAUGCGCAGAUAUCAGGAGGAACACCAAUGGCGAAGGCAGCUCGCUGGGACGUGACUGACGCUGAGACGCGAAAGCGUGGGGAGCAAACGGG
RNAcentral lists this ribosomal RNA (253 nucleotides) under uncultured bacterium. RNAcentral describes it as "partial 16S ribosomal RNA". It matches the Rfam family "Bacterial small subunit ribosomal RNA", at positions 524 to 776 of the family's 1533-position model. The record is from RNAcentral.